UGACCAAGGACAAGAUGGAUGGAUGGUAUCCUUGAAGUGACUGGCUUGACCUUGAAGGAGCUGGGGGUGGUGACAGCCAAUAGGCAUGGGCUGGUCUAUGAAGCAACUGAAGGAGUAAACAACAACAAUGACACUCAGUUUUGGCGUCUGAGGUUUUAGUGCUAAAGUAUCAUUAAACUCACCUCCCUUAAAUCUUUCGUGUUAUUCUGACGUGCAGAAAAAGCCAUCCAGAUCAAAAAGAAGCAACUCUAUGUAUGCUUAAACAUUCUAAUUUGACUCCAGGACUGAACCUUGGCACUGGCAAUAUGCUCUCUCUCUAUUCCCAUAUAAUACCUGUGCAUGUGUGUAUAUGGGGAGAGAGAGAAAAAAUCCAGUGAUGCCUAGAGAAAAACAUUAAACCCCCGAUGCUUAUUUUCAGAGGUUUUAAAUUAGAAAGAUAACAUACAUUAGUUGUAAUACUUUUCUAUAGCCUUGAGAGCUCCAGUUUCAUAUUUGUAUUGUUUCAAUGUGUAACUAUUUGUGUUUCUCCAUCGUGGCAUUUAUAGUUUCAAUGUGCUUUGCCUCGGGCCACAUGGGAGUUUAUGAAUGUGCUGGCAAGAGUCAACAAGAAUAAGGUUUAACUUAUGAAAAGUCACUUGUGUAAUAAGUGGGUGGUCUAUCAGCUUUAGAAUUUUGCUGAGAUUGCUGGUCAUUGUAUAAGCUUCAUUUUAUGCACAGGACACAAUGAAAUAUCAGUCUUUUAGUUUCACGAGAGACACCAAACAUCAGUAUGCUACUCUUGACUUGAAGAUUAGAAAUGUACUUGGAUGACAUGAUUCUCUCCUUCAGUGAAGUAUCUUAAUCUAUUUGCCAAGGCAUCAGAAAAAAACCCCCAAUAAGGUAAGUAUGUUGUAUUCACAGCACAUUUUUAAGAUUUAUAGCAGCGAGGAAACAAAAACACUAUACUCUCCAAUUGUCCCCAUUAAUUGCCAUUCCAUUUUUCAAAUUUUUUCAAAAGUUUCUUUCUUCUCCUUUGAGCUAGCUUUUAGCUUAGCUCAAGUGCUACAAAUUGUGUUCAGACCCCAAAAGCAGUUUGUACCCAAUUAACUCAGUGUGGCAGAGUAGAGGGAAAUUUUGUAGUCUUACUCAUAAGUAAACUGUUGCAUUCUCUUUUUGCUUAUGUGUUCUUGACCACAUUCUGAUGUUGCUUGAGCACAUAUGUCUGAGGUUUUAUCUGUGAAAUAUUGGAGGAUAUGAAUUCAUCCCCACCACAGCACUAACAUUUUCCAGUGGUGGGAUUCCAUGCUCAUGUGAGGAAGGAGGCUAUGCUGAUAAUAACAGCACUGUAAGUAAGGUCUCCCAUGUUGGACAGGCUUUCGUUGAGAAGCCAGACUAAAUAUGCCUAACAGCCACUAAGCAGCAGUAGUAGUGAGGGAUGAUGCUCGUAGAGGAUCUCUCAAGGAAAAUGACAAUGACACAGUAGAUAACACUUAUUUGUUCUGUGCAGGCAGAGGCAUUAUAAACCCUUUUUGAAUAUCUUCUACCAUGAAAACCCUAUGAUGUGACAAUCCAGGAUAAAACAAAACCUAGUGCCAGAUGACACAGAUCGGAAAGUAUUGAGUGAGCUACAGACGACAACAAUGAGUAGCAAUGUGAUUAAUGCUGCAAGUGGACUCAAGCCAAAUGGAUGUUUAAGUGGUGACAUGCUCAGCGGUGAAAAGAAAGACCAAAGAUGCACAACAUAUGUUAUAGGAAUAUGUGAGAAGCACAAAUCAGGGGAAGCUAGACAUAGCAAAACAAGAAAUGGAAGUUGUAAUAUCUGUGAUCCAAUGUGUUGUCGAAGGCUUUCAUGGCCGACUCUGAACAAAAGAUGCCCCCAGGCAGGAAGAAGCCAGGAGAUGAAGCUAUUGAAUGCUAAUUAAGGUGAUUCAUUACAACAUUCACACUGGCCUCCAACUGACAAGAGUUCUUUUCUCACCCUGGACUUUCCACAGAUAUAUAAACCUUCCUUGCUUAGUUUCUCCAUACCUCAAAACCUCUGAGGAUGCCUGCCAUAGAUGUGGGUGAAACGUCAGGAGAGAAUACUUCUGGAACAUGGCCAUACAGCUCAGAAAACAUACAAACACCCCAUCUGUGAUACACUUCAGUAAUAUAAGUUAAAUUUUGUAGUUUGUAAUCUGCAAUCUUGUAGCUUGUUUUUGUUAAUAACUGCUAUUAAUUUUUUUAUUUUAUAUCAAUUUUUUAAUCAAGUAUGAUUUUUUAAAAAAGCAAUGUGACACUAACAAGAACAUCUGAGGUUGUAUGCAUAUGCGAUUAUAUAGGAUAAGAUCUGGACAAAUAUUCUUUGUCCAGAUAAAUAAAUCUCACAAUGCAAAGGUAGGUUCAGUCUCUGCUUUAGUAAUUUGGAAUAUUAAGAUUUAUUCAUCGUAUACUCAUAUAUAUUCAUCUAUUUUUAUACCCCCUUGGUCCAGUUGAACUCCCUCUCAUCAGAAAAUCCUUUUUCAUUUUUAUUGAUUGACUGAUUAUAUUUAUAUCCCAAAUUUCUUUCAAAAUGGGAUUCAAAACAAAAGUCAGGUAGUUUGAGUGAAUCAGUCUGGACCUUGACUGUGUUGCCCUUCCCAAAAUUCAUGUGCAUUUUUUUUUGACAGAUUGUAGCCCACUGUAAGUCCUAGUAGGAGACAACACUAGCUCCCAGACCAGCAAAAGCUGUUUAUGUAUUUGGUUUGCACAAACCAUUGAUAGAUACUUAGGAGAAAGGGAAGAACUGUGUUACUAACCACAUCAAUGCAAGUGGUGAUGAAACCAGCAAAAAUUGGGAUAAAACCAACAGUUGUGUUGAUUUUGUGGAUUAACCUAGUCAAUAUCACACAUAGACACAUUUUCACAUAUUCACUACAUGUUAUUAUUCCUGACAAAUCUUACAAACUCAGUAUUAGAGGAAGGCACGAGCGAUGCUCUGAAAAUCUUGUCAAGAAAAGCCCUGUGAUAAGAUCACAGUCAGCUGGAAGUGAUUUGUAGGCAGACAACAAAGUACCUUACAAGCCCAAAGAAGAGGAAAAGUGUUUCUAGUCAUCACUGCCCUCUGAACAUCCAAACACAGCAGGUAGUCCAGGAGAUCCUCUUCAGCUUCUACUACACAUUGGAAAAGAACUUGGAAAAGUUACUUUUGGACUAAAAUCUAUAAAUUGACUGGAUAUUAGAGAUGUGCGCUGUAUUGUUUCACAUAUUUCAUUCGUCUUUUGUUUUGUAUCACCCAUUUGGAUUGCAUGAUAUGAAAGAUGCCAUUUUAGGAUAAAACAAAAGGUGACACAAAAGAGAAAGCUGGACGGUCACUAUACUUUUGCUUUUGUGGCCUGACAGGGGGCUAUUUAAGGGGUGGACUGCACUGGGGAGUGCACACAGAUUUGGGUUUUCUUUUUUGCCUGGCUGCUUGACUUAUUUUAAUAAUUUUUCCUUUGAAAGGAAGGGGCUGGGAUUUUUGAAGUGGUAGGAGUGGGUUUGGCUGGGAAGCAUGUGUGGGGCUUUUCUUCUUUAUUCUUUGUGUAAAACCCCCUUCUUCCUCCCCCCUAUUAGCUCUUUUAAAAACAAAUAUAUUUUAAAGGAAAAAAAAUUGUUGGGCUUCCCUUCUCUGUUUGGAAAUCAAACCUGUCUCUAUCUCUAUUACUGGCCCUUGGAAAAUCUACUCUUUUAUUUCUCCCUAUCUCUCUGUAUUGCCUCUGGCUUGGUCCUCCCUCUCCUUUGGGCUGUAUAGAAAACAAAUACAAUAUGAUAGUCUUAUUAUUUUUUAUAGAUUACAUAUAUUUUUGAAAGCAAAGACAGUUUUGGGUUCCUAUCGCUAUUCAAACUUUCAGUCUCUCUCUAAAACUGGCCUUAGGAGAACUAUAAUUAUUUUCUCCCUUUAGCACCUUUAUUUAUAAAAAGGAAAAAAAAUGCUAGAAAUCGGGAGAAGAACCAAAUGUUUUAAAAGUUGGUGGGCUUAAAAGGGUCAAUAUGCCCUCCAUGUGUGGCCAUUUUCACCCCUCUAACCCUAAAACUCAGUUGGGGGGGAGCCUCUGAAGCCCACCUAUUGCCGCCAAUGGUCUGAAAAUUUUCAUUUUUUUUUGUCUGGGAAACGAAAAUCCUAUUUGUAUUGGUGCCCCGUUUUCAGAAGUGGUGACAAAUUUGAAAAUGAGACAAAACGAAUGAAACAAAACAAAACAGCAAUUCCAUACGAAUGCACAUGACUACUGGAUAUAUUAUAUUUUUCAAGCUAUGAGUCUGGAGUUAUUGGUAGGGUAACACACUGCCUUUGCUAAUCAUUAUGUCCAAAGAUACUCAGCAAGGUAUGUGUUGUAAUCAGGUAGGUUAAUCUAAAAUAGAUGGAGCCCUUGGUGGCGCAGAGGAUUAAACCACUGAACUGCUGAACUUGCUGACCGAAAGGCUGGCAGUUCAAUUCCGGGGAGCGAAGUGAGCUCCUGCUAUUAGCCCCAGCUUCUGACAAUCUAGCAAUUCGAAAACAUGCAAAUGUGAGUAGAUCAAUAGGUACUGCUUCUGCGGGAAUGUAGUCAUGCUGGCCACAUGACCUAGGAGGUGUCUAUGGACAACACUAACUCUUCAGCUUAGAAAUGGAGAUGAGCACCAACCCCCAGAGUUGGACACAAAUGAACUUAAUGUCAGGGGGAAAACCUUUACCUUUACCUUUAAUAAAACAGAUAAGCAAACAUUUCAGCAAAAUUGCCAGCUUCUUAUAGCUGGUCCAGGAUAUUUUGCUGUUUAAAGAAAAUAACAAAAUGGCACUCCCUUCCUUAGCAGGUUGGUUCAGGAGGUCCAAGAAGAUUGCAUGGCAUAUAUGACUACUUAUUGCAACAACACUUAACAACUGGAGAGUUUGCAAAGAUGGUGAAAGCUACCACCAUUGCCUUGGAAUGUAUAAUCAGCCCACCACCUUCUAUCCUUCUUCUCUGGCAUGAUGUCUUCUUUCUCCUAAAUAUAUAACUCAAACUACAUUGUGCUGGCUUUAUAUCAGGAAUUGCAUCUCCUUUUUCACCUUGUGUAUUUUCUGGACUAGAUCCUUCUUUCCCUAAUUCAAUUUGUGCUCUUUGUAUUCUCAAAUCAUACAAUUCCAGGUACUGCUUUAUGAACACUAAAUCACAUCAUUAUUAUGUCAUUUUGAAAGAAAAUCAAAUAAACCAGUGCUGCUGAUAAAUGAA
Molecule: long non-coding RNA, 5168 nt
Organism: Anolis carolinensis (green anole)
Lineage: Eukaryota; Metazoa; Chordata; Lepidosauria; Squamata; Anolidae
Exons: 2
Source: RefSeq, a predicted model, not a curated record